AGUUUUGAUGCAAGUGACUUUUGUAAUUUAACAGAAUUCUAUAAGAUUUUCUGUUUUAAAUAGUACUUUGAGUUUCAAGUGACAGACAUGAAGAUUGCAUAUUUGAGAAUUCAGAUGAGAAACCAGAGACAUUAGAAAACAAAUUGAUAUUAAAGUUGCACAAACUGCUUUUAUAUUCAGUAGAAUGUAUAACCUGGUUUGCAUUUGUUUUCACAUUUUUUUUUAACUGUUACUGCAGCUGGAUAUUGCGUGAUCACCUAUAUACUUGGAGUUGGAGACAGGCACCUGGAUAACCUUUUGCUAACAAAAACAGGUAUUCUAAUCUGAUUUUGAACUUGUUUUCCUUGAUGGUUGAUGCAAACAUUCCAGAUAUUGCACUUGAACCAGAUAAAACUGUGAAAAAGGUUCAGGAUAAAUUCCGUUUAGACCUGUCGGAUGAAGAGGCUGUGCAUUACAUGCAGAGUCUGAUUGAUGAGAGUGUCCAUGCUCUUUUUGCUGCAGUGGUGGAACAGAUUCACAAGUUUGCCCAGUACUGGAGAAAAUGAAACUGGGAUUGACCCAUCAAGAUGCUUGGCUCAAUAAGAAAACCACG
RNAcentral lists this small RNA (592 nucleotides) under Pan troglodytes (chimpanzee). Its description in RNAcentral is "retained intron". Lineage: Eukaryota; Metazoa; Chordata; Mammalia; Primates; Hominidae. The record is from RNAcentral.